RNAcentral lists this long non-coding RNA (4450 nucleotides) under Malus domestica (apple). RNAcentral's name for it is "long non-coding RNA (MDOM_LNC012650)". Lineage: Eukaryota; Viridiplantae; Streptophyta; Magnoliopsida; Rosales; Rosaceae. The record is from RNAcentral.
UCACCUUUACUUUGAAGUACUUCUUUCUUGCUUUAUUUGAUAUGCAUGAAAAUAAAGUAGUUGGGUCCAACGCCCCUAAGACAACACGCCUUAAUUUGAUUAAACGCGUAACUAAAAUCAAUCACCAUCCCUAGACCGAGAUUCAACACAAGGCUAGUGUUGAAUCUAAACAAAGGUUCAUAGUCAUCCUAAGGCCCUAAGGCAACUAUAUAGUCCAUCAAAUGAAUGCAAAGUUUAUGUUAGUAGUAGCAUAUACUCUUGCUUUAAAAACCGUUUUAUAAGCAUAGUGGGAGUAUUAUAUACAACUAAAACAAUCAUAUGGACCAAUAGUUGUAAUAGGACCAAAAUUGUUUUAAUAAAGAUUAAAAUGAAUAUUUAUAUGUGAGGAGACCUAAAACCCUCAACCAAACCAUUAUUAAGUUGAUAAGCGUGAGAGUGCUUUGAACACUCUUUCGUGGCCUUCCACCAUGGUGGGCUUCAAUCGUUUGUGACUCAUACACCGUAUUAAUCCAGUUCUGGGGUUGCAAAGUAUGUGCUUACAUUCAGGAGAAGCCUAUGCACAUAUGAUGAAGUGAAAGGUAGGCAACGAGUGUGGUUAAUAUGAUAUUCUUCUGAGGCCAUCCUUGAACCCCUACUUGAACUAGCAUGGUGGGAAUGACUUAACUAAGUGCAAUGUGCCAAUAUGAUAUUCUUCUGAGGCAUCAUUCUCUAGAGGCCAAACUAGAUGGGUACUUGCAAGAGAUGCAAAUGAGUAAGCGUACUCUCUCAUUAUUAUUAAAGCUAGCCAAUAUGAUUUUCUUCUGAGGUGGGCUUGGUAGUAGUGAGUCUCCCAUACCUUACUAAGAGUUUCCUCCAAAACUCUCGAAUUCCAAUGAGGGAUAUGGAAUUUGCCAAAAAUAGUGGGUGGUGCUAUUUGAUUUAAAGACCCGAAUCAAAUGGCUUAAAAUCAAUCAAUUUAUAUUCGUUAUGUAUUUGUUUACCAAUAUAUUUGCAAACGUUAUCCAACACUUGACAAAUAAAAGCCGAAAGCUUUAGUUUCCGGACUUGGUACUACAAAACCAUAGAUUGUCUUUAAUGGCUUGUAAAUGUACCUAAGUAAUCUCAUCCUCACAAUCUUCCUAUUGAUAAUGUAUCAUUAGAAGAAUAUGUUAGAAAAGUCUAUCAUAAAGAGGACAACACUUUUAAUGUCAUAAUUCUUCAAUUACAAAUUGUUGUAUGAAGAAAUAAGAGUUGCUUUGAACAACUCUUAAUCAAUGCAAACAUUAGUGCUUGUUUCUUUGUUACAUGAACAAGGAACUUUAGAAGAAAGCACAAGUGCAUGGACACUUUAUGUGCCAUGAUUCUUCACUUACAAAUUGUUGUAUGAAGAAAUGAGAGUUGCCUUGAACAACUCUUGAAAGUUUGUAAUUAUGUUUAGAACAUAAUGGUUGGUUGACAAACAUAGUCCAUUAACAUGGACUUAUGAUGAUUUUGAAUCAUUGAGUGUUGAAGUGUUAAACCACUUAACGAGACGGAAACUAGGCAAGGACUUCACCUUUGAGUCCCUAUCCUAAUGGUUCACUAAGUUUAUUGUAAACUAUAUGGUGAACAAUAACCACACACUCUCCGAAAUGUUUGAUGUGUAUAACACAAUUGAAAUAAGUUUCAAGAGAGAUAGUGGGAGUUUAGGGACCAUGACUAAUGUAGUCAACGGUGAAAGUCAAAUGAAGAAGAUAAGAAUUAACUCCAAGGGAACAAACUUUCUUUAUGAAAGGAUGGACAUUGGAAGGGGUAUUUGCAAGAAAUGUCUUGCAAGUGUCAAGAACACACAUUUCGAAGGUGUUGUAAAUUGUUCUUGAAUUGUUCAAAAUAGUUGGUUCUUCUACUUGAAUGCUUGAUUUUGUAUUAGUAACUAUGUUUUACAAUCGUUGUAAAAGUGUGACUAAUAAGAAGUAGAAGAUAUAUGAGAGAAGAAAAGGUGCUUUACAUUCGGAACGUGAAUAAAAUAUAGAUCUCUGUGAAAGCAGAUAGUACUUACUUCCUCAUAUGAACUACCAAAGAAAUUGAAAAAAACCAAAGAUUGUCUUUACAUUCCAAUUUUAAGGAAUUUAAUUCCGUCACUAUAGUAGAGAUGGAUGAAUGUUUUGUUUGACAAAACAUUGUUCUUUAUUAAUCAAUGAUUGGAUUAUAGUAAUCUAACUGAUUGUCUCUAUAGUAGAGAUGAUAUGGUAGUGUUAACUGUUUAGAAUAUAAAUGAUGCUUAAUACCCAAAAGGGUUGCAAGGUAGUGACUAAUCCCAACUAAGUUGUGAUACCUCUAAAACCAUAAGUUACGAGUUGGUGAAAGAUGGAUGCUUUGGAUCAUUAGAUCCGGAUCCAAUACCUUCUUGUUAAAGUUGUAUAGAGGCGAAAUGUUCGAAUCUUUAUUCUUUUGGAAAGAAGAAAGAAUCACAAAGUUGUUGAGGUUAAUUCACUUAGAUGUUAGUGGCACUUGUCCACAACAUAAUACUACUCAUGUUGUAUGACAUUCACCGAAGAUCACUCUUGGUUGGACUAUAGUUUAUUUUGAAUAAACACAAGUCCGAAUACUUUGCAAAAGGUUUCAAAGAAUUCAAGAAAUGUAAGUUGAUGAGUAAGACGUCUAAAGUAUUUACCUCCUUAGAUUUGAUCCAAGGAAAAGUAACACUUUAGAUGAGUUUCCUUGAAAGAUAUCAAGGAAAGAAGCAUCAUAAGAUAAUGAAUUUCUCCAUUAGGAGAAGAACGAACAUGAAUAAGAUUUAGUUCGUCAGAUGUUAUCUAUUACCCAUAUAUAGGAUAUAUACUUCUAAAAACAAUAUGAUUGUAAAUUAGAAGAUCUUUCCAAAAUUUUCAUGACUCCAUAAGAUGUAGUUGGAAAGAAAGACAAAUCUUAAGCAUGUUAAGAUUUGGGGUUGUGUGCUAAUUAGCAAUAUUUGUUUGAUAACAAUCUUGUGGGAUAUCCUUAAAUUAACUUUUGGAUAUCGCUUCUAUAAACCAACUAACAAAUGUUGUUUUGUUGGGUAGUUCAUUGUAAUCCUACAAUGUGAUUUGCCUUAGAGCUAAUGAACGAGAGAUAGAACUCAAAGAAUGGGUUCUUUGAGAGACAAGAUGAUAAUCAACAAAUAUAACAACCUAGUUCCUAUACCACAAGCUCCAAGGUAGUCUAGAAGGAUUUAUAAACCGUCUCAGUUGAAUGGUUUGAACUUUAUGACUAUGUCAUAGAGUUGCACCUCUUAAUUCGAAAGAAAUAAGAAUGAAAAUCCUUAUGACUACAUUGAAUGUAUAUAUGAUAUAUACUCAAGGAAAUGGUAAAAUACCAUUUGACCCGAAAUAAUGAAACCUUCAUAAGCUAAUUGGUAGCUUAAGGCGACUACAAUAAAAAAGAAUGGUUGACUUUGAAGAAACCAUCUUUGAGAUAGUCUUGGUUUCGAUUAAUUCGAAGAUUGCUAGCUACAACUAAAUGGUGAUUCAAUAUUUGGACAUAAUAUGGGUUUCCAAAACCAUUGUUAAGAUAGUCUUGAUAAUAUAUGUCUAAAAUUAUAAAUCACAAGACAUGUAAGUUGUAGAGAUCCAUCCAUCAUGAAUCUUAGCAAGCUAGUGGGAGCUAUAAGCAUCUUAUGAGAAAAAGGAUUAAAUCGUUUGAUUUCUCAUAAAGAUGUAAAUGAAUCUUUUGUUUACUAGGUUUACAAAAGAUUAGUGGGAGUUAAAUCAUGUUCCUAAAAUUUAAAUAUAUAUGAUAUAUUAAUUUUGGAAAUGAAAUGAAUACUUCUUCGUUAAAGUUAUGACUUUAAUACAUUAUAUGAAGAUAGAAUGUAUAUGGGAGUUAAUCAUGUUCCUAAAAUUUAAAUAUAUAUGAUAUAUUAAUUUUGGAAAUAAAAAGAAUACUUCUUCGUUAAAGUUAUGACUUUAAAACAUUAUAUGAAGAUAGAAUGUAUAUGGGAGACAUAGUCUAUAUACAUGGGAUGGAAAUCUAUAAUGAUAGAUUUUAGGAUAUAAUUUGAUUAUAUCAAUCCCUAAUAAUAGACAAGAGAUGCUAGCAAGUUUCUCAUAUGAUGAUAAACUUCAAUCAAGAGGACAACUUUAGUGAGACUAAGAUGUUGCUCUUCUCAAAGGGAACGUACCCUUUGACUCCCAAAGAAAUAAAUGCGUAAAUAUAAUCCUUUAUGCGUAAGCGGAAAGGUGAUUUAUGUAUUUCAAUUAGAAGGACAACUCUAGUGAGACUAAGAAGUUGCUCUUCUAAAAGAGAACGUACUCUUUGACUCCCAAAGAAAUAAUGCGUAAAUAGAAUCCUUUAUGCAUACGCAUAAAGGGGAUUUAUGUAUUUCAUAUUGUAUGAAAAAUAUUGAUAUGAGUUGUACCUAGAACGGUACAAUACGAUAUCAGUGCAAGCCCAGGAUCAGAACCAUGGCAACUGUCAAGUGAAUCCUUAAGUAUUUAAGAAAUACUAAAGGAUA